Otolemur garnettii (small-eared galago) is the source of this 107-nucleotide small nuclear RNA. The record is from Ensembl. NCBI's taxonomy places the organism in Eukaryota, Metazoa, Chordata, Mammalia, Primates, Galagidae.
GUGCUUGCUUCAGCAGCACAUAUACUAAAAUUGGAAUGAUACAGAGAAGAUUAGCAUGGCCCCUGCACAAGGAUGGCAUGCAAAUUCAUGAAGCGUUCCAUAUUUAA